Molecule: microRNA, 23 nt
Filed under: Anas platyrhynchos (mallard)
Lineage: Eukaryota; Metazoa; Chordata; Aves; Anseriformes; Anatidae
Description: miR-34-x
Source: RNAcentral
GCAAUCAGCUAACUACACUGCCU